Molecule: long non-coding RNA, 3428 nt
Organism: Daktulosphaira vitifoliae (grape phylloxera)
Lineage: Eukaryota; Metazoa; Arthropoda; Insecta; Hemiptera; Phylloxeridae
Exons: 7
Source: RefSeq, a predicted model, not a curated record
UUUUACAUUUUUAACUUUAUAAUGCUAUAACUUAUUGAAAAGUGUAUUCAUCAAAUUAAUUUUUUUAUAGGAAAUACUAUUUUUUAAUAAUCCCUUUUUUAUUCGACAUACUUUAUCUUAAUCAGGAUAUUAAUAAGGAACUAGCAGUUUAUGAAGCUUUUGGAAUAAUCCACCAAUUUUUUAAAAUUAAACACUAUCUAAAGAUUUGCAUCGAAGCGUUUUUUUUUUAUAGUGAUUUUAAUCACUGUCAGAUUAAAUCUAUACUGGACCCAACUAUGCAACAUCCCCACUGUGCCGCUACCCCCCUGUGCUGGGUUUUUUUUAUUGUUAUUUUACGGAUUUACAGUCCACAGAAUAUGUAUUAGUUAUAAGCAGGAGAUGUAUGUUAUUAUUUUCGUUAUUAAUUUUAGCUAAUUCUAUUUAUCAUUUGGGUCUUGUUUGUUUAUUAUGUUUCUAUCAUAACGGAAAUAUCAUAUUGUGAAUAUAUAUAUAUGUUGUUUUUCUUUCUAUCUAUAGUAUUUUGUAAGGCUCAAUUUCCACAAUUUUAUAUUUUCCUUCCUUCCGCUAAGGCAUGCCCAAAAAUACAUAUGGUCAAUCGUAUUGAUUAAACAAACAAAAAGGUUACAAAAUCGCAAAUUGCCGAUACUAAAGAAAAUAUAGCCGGCAUUGCACACACAGUUUGUAAAUUUAUGCAUUUAAACAAUAUUUUUGUAAUUUUCCAAAAACACUUAGUCCGUUUAAAUUUAUUAUAAGAUAUAAUAAAAACUCAAACAAAUUUUCUGAAAAAAGAAUACGUUAAUCCUCUUAAGGGGUAAUAUCCACCAAAUUUUUUUUUUUUUCAUUUUUUUUUUUAUUGGCUUAAAUCAUGCUAAAACUAUCCUAGAAUCAAAAUCUUCAACGCCCAAGUACUGAUCUAAACUCAAAAUUCGUUUAAAUCAAUUUUUUCCAAACAACUUUUAUGCUCCAAAAUCACAUUUUUCGCUUAUUUUAGCGAUGCUCGUUUUUUUUUUAAUUUCGCGGCUUUGUAAAUUAGUAGAAGUUACCUAUGAUCGAUAUCUUUUUUUGAAUAUGAAGUAUAGAAUUUCGAUCGUUACAGCGUCUGUACAGCACGUGUUUACUCACAAUUUCCCUUUGUUUAGUCGAUCAGCCGUUCUAGUUGUGUACGUUCUUAGUUUGAGUUUUGCUAUACUUUUUAACUGUGACUUAUAUUCAAAAGUACUUAAUUAUGAGUAACAAGUUGUACAGUGGCCACAAAGGCAGUAAAACAAGAAGUACCAGAACAACCCGGAGUAAAAUUAGUAACCGAUACCCGCCUAACCGCUAUGCUUCGAAGGCUAUUCGAAAUAAGGCGAGAAAAUUAAAAACUUCUGAUUUAAAUCGUGAUUGCGAUGUUGAUAGGGAUUUCGGCUACUGUUUCAUACAUUUUUUUUCGCUGUAUUUACUGCUCUUUCUGAAUUAUUAGUAUGUAAAAAAUGUAAUAGUGAUGUGCGGUUUUCACAGUCGAGCAAGCGUGGACUAGGCUUCAAGAUUGUUGUGUCUUGUUCGAACUGCGGUGAUGCCGAUAUUUUUAACUGUCCUCUAAUACAUGAUCGUGCUUAUGAGAUCAAUUGCCGUAUUAUUUUUGCUAUGCGCAUCAUUGGCAUAGACAUCAACGGUAUAAAAAAGUUCUGUGCGAUGAUGGAUCUCGCAAAGCCUAUUUUUCAAACAACUUACAGUAUGAUCAUUUCCAAUAUUGGCACUGCUACUUCAUCUGUUAAAAUUAUUUCUAUGAAAAAAUCAGCUAUUGAAGAGAAAGAACGUUCUAUUGAACGAGGUGAAGAAGGCGGUCUUACGGUGUCAGGCAAUGGAUCUUGGCGUAAGAGGGGGUUUUCAUCUUUGUUUGGAUUAGUUACUUUAAUUGGUUGGCACACUGGCAAGGUAUUAGAUGUGUGUGUAAAAUCAAAGUACUGUAAAGUGUGUGAAUAUUGGCAAAAAAAAAGAAGGUACUGCUGAGUACGAGGAGGUGUACCCUUCGCACAAAGAGAGUGUUCUUGGUGUUCUUGACAGCACAGUAAAGCGCUUGGUACUCUUGCAACAUACGAGCACAAGAGUCCAAUGCAUGAGGAUGUUUUCAAGGCGAUACAACCCAUGUAUAAAGAACUCAGCUCCGACAACCUUCAGUCACGCUGCUUGGUGUUUUUAGUCAAUUGCUCCAAAAACGAUAUCUAGCGAUAAGAUUAUAGUUGAUAUUGCGACUGAUGUAGCCGUUAUUAUUUUCAACGAAGGUUUAUCCGGUAUGUUUGUCGUUUAUGAUGCUCUUGGGUUAACCGUUGGACCGAACAUGUACGAGUUUUGCGUAGGAUCGGACGCCAAUCGCGUCAAAGUCUCUGAUCAUCGUAUGUCCGAUAUCGCGAAAGAGGCUAGGAGCAGCCUUACAUCAGACAAAAAAAAGGAAGAAGAGGAAAAUAAGGACCAGGAAGGACAACUUUACGGCGCAGGGAUAGCUGACUGAAGGUGGAGUUGGGCACGACUUCUACUGCUCGCCGCGGAAGAACUUUUUAAAAAAGCAGUUCACGGCAAUCGCUGCACAGCCGCCAUUUUAUAAAAAAAAUAACAAUAAAACAUAUUUUUCUAUUCUCCAAGAGUUGCUUAAUCCAAUGAUUCGAUUCAAGACUUUAUCCAUCCAGAAGAAUCUAACCAGUGUUUUAUAAUAAAUGGUAUAGUACUAGUAAAACGCGACAGUGGACAAAAACUAUGCCCGACAAAAUAACCGACUUAAAGAAAUCAAUAAAACGUGAAAUUUUAAAUAACCCAAAAUUGAAAAAUACCAUUCAAAAUCAAAUUCAAGAUUUAAUGUCCAAAUUUAUCCAAGGAAUCGUUCAGAAUUUUUUAAGGGAAUCUACCGAUUAUUUGAUAAACAAUAAUAGUGAUCCAGAAAAACUUAAGGAAGAGGAAAUAUAUAUGAACAAAAGACUAACCGAGUUGAAGGACUUACGGCACAUUAAUGAUAAAUCUAUAUUUUGAAAUUUUAUAGAAAAAAACAAUAAGAAAAUAUCUUAUUCCUCCAGCUCCGUCACUUUUCCAAGUUCUACCAACUCUUCUAAAAGCGGAUAAUAAUAUUAAAAACCAAGGUUAAGUUUGGAUGAAAUCAAACGCGGUGUUCAAUUGAGGCCGAUGAUGCUAAUGGUUAAAAUUAUAAAAUAACCGACGAUAGAUGAAAAAGAUAUGCAAAGAAUGAACCAAUUAGAUAUUGUCAUGUUCCGUCGAGCAGUUUUAGCUCCGAUUCCUCAUCAGAAUAUUUUUGUCUGGAUGAAUGGGAUUAACUAAAUAAAAAUUAAUCGAAAAGAAUAGCCUGGAUAAAUAAUGUCAAGUUAUAAUUAAAAAGUCAACCGCUCUGGAGCAUAGUAGGAGGGUAAUCAAAGGGUGACCAAGAUGAGCUGAAGAUAUCG